GAUCAUGGCUCAGGAUGAACGCUAGCGACAGGCUUAACACAUGCAAGUCGAGGGGCAGCACAGGGUAGCAAUACUUGGGUGGCGACCGGCGCACGGGUGAGUAACGCGUAUGCAACUUACCUAUCAGAGGGGGAUAGCCCGGCGAAAGUUGGAUUAAUACUCCAUGAAACAUGGGUCCCGCAUGGGAAUAUUUGUUAAAGAUUCAUCGCUGAUAGAUAGGCAUGCGUU
RNAcentral lists this ribosomal RNA (228 nucleotides) under uncultured bacterium. RNAcentral describes it as "partial 16S ribosomal RNA". It matches the Rfam family "Bacterial small subunit ribosomal RNA", at positions 15 to 237 of the family's 1533-position model. The record is from RNAcentral.